RNAcentral lists this long non-coding RNA (1011 nucleotides) under Homo sapiens (human). Its description in RNAcentral is "HSALNT0190540". The record is from RNAcentral. Lineage: Eukaryota; Metazoa; Chordata; Mammalia; Primates; Hominidae.
UUUUUGACAGGGUCUUUUGUCACCCAGGCCAGAGUGCAGUGGCUCCAUCUCAGCUCAUUACAGCCUUGACCUCCCAGGCUCAAGUGAUCCUCCUACCUGAACCUCCAGAAUAGCUGAGACUACAGGUGCACACCAUCAUACCUGGCUAAUUUAAUUUUUUUUUUUUUUUUUGAGAUAAGAGUUCUGCCACUUUGCUCAUGCUGGUCUCAGACUCUUUUUUUUUUUUUUUUUUCCUGAGACCGAGUCUUGCUCUGUCACCCAGGCUGGAGUACAGGGGCAUGAUCUUGGCUCACUGCAACCUCCAUCUUCUGGGUUCAAGCCAUUCUCCUGCCUCAGCAUCCCCAGUAGCUGGGGUUACAGGCACGUGCCACCAUGCCCAGCUAAUUUUAGUAUUUUAGUAGAGAUGGGGUUUCACCAUGUUGGCCAGGCUGGUCUCAAACUCCUGACCUCAAGUGAUCCACUCAUCUUGGCCUCCCAAAGUGCUAGGAUUACAGGCAUGAGCUACCACACCCAGCCAGGUCUCAAACUCAAGCUCAAGUGAUCUUCCUGCCUUGGCCUCAAAGGUACUGGGAUUACAGUUACUCGCUGGAAGUGGUGGGAAUCAUAAAAAACAACCAGGACCUUGCAUCCUAGUAUAGAAGCCACAACUGUGGAAGCUUAACAGCCAGGCAAAUGCCCACAAACCACCACCCUCUGCAUUGGAUGCAUAUGUCCCUGACCUCGCAAGUGAAAAAGAGAGGAAGACGGCGACACCUCCAGGCUUCAGACUCAUUAAUCCUGUGAAUCGUGACCCACUCUUAAAACCAAGGUCUUUUAAAUUAAAUGAUGUAUUUUACAUUCCACUUGGAAAUACUCUGGCCAGGCAGCAUAACAGUCUUGUAGAUGAAACAGCCAAAUUAGGUUGUUCUCAAACUCUUAGCUUUUUUUCUUAGGGAAAAGAAAAAUUUAAGAACCACAUACACAUGCAACUACUACCACUUCACAAAUUAAAAAGUGAGGAGAGGAGGCCGG